AACGAACGCUGGCGGCGUGUUUAAGACAUGCAAGUCGCACGGGAUCAUUUUGGUAGCAAUACUCGGAUGGUCCAGUGGCGCACGGGUGAGUAACACGUGAAUGACAUGCCCUGCAGAGGGGGAUAGCCCAGGGAAACUUGGAUUAAUACCCCAUGGUAUCGCGAGAUUAAAGGGUGGCCGCAAGGCUGCCGCUGCAGGAUUGGUGCGCGUUCUAUCAGCUUGUUGGCGGGGUAACGGCCCACCAAGGCUACGACGGAUACCUGGUCUGAGAGGACGAUCAGGCACACUGGAACUGAGACACGGUCCAGACACCUACGGGUGGCAGCAGUCGAGAAUAAUUCACAAUGGGGGCAAACCUGAUGGUGCAACGCCGCGUGGAGGAUGAAGGUCUUCGGAUUGUAAACUCCUGUCAUCCGGGAGCAAGACCUGACGGUUAACAGCCGGCAGGGUUGAUAGUACCGGAAGAGGAAGGGACGGCUAACUUCGUGCCAGCCGCCGCAGUAA
Molecule: ribosomal RNA, 504 nt
Filed under: uncultured bacterium
Lineage: Bacteria
Description: partial 16S ribosomal RNA
Rfam family: Bacterial small subunit ribosomal RNA
Source: RNAcentral